This 576-nucleotide ribosomal RNA is filed under the name Trichoderma sp. CRCF26. RNAcentral describes it as "eukaryotic LSU rRNA". The stretch from base 213 to 366 matches the Rfam family "5.8S ribosomal RNA". The record is from RNAcentral. Lineage: Eukaryota; Fungi; Ascomycota; Sordariomycetes; Hypocreales; Hypocreaceae.
AGGGAUCAUUACCGAGUUUACAACUCCCAAACCCAAUGUGAACGUUACCAAACUGUUGCCUCGGCGGGAUCUCUGCCCCGGGUGCGUCGCAGCCCCGGACCAAGGCGCCCGCCGGAGGACCAACCAAAACUCUUAUUGUAUACCCCCUCGCGGGUUUUUUUACUAUCUGAGCCAUCUCGGCGCCCCUCGUGGGCGUUUCGAAAAUGAAUCAAAACUUUCAACAACGGAUCUCUUGGUUCUGGCAUCGAUGAAGAACGCAGCGAAAUGCGAUAAGUAAUGUGAAUUGCAGAAUUCAGUGAAUCAUCGAAUCUUUGAACGCACAUUGCGCCCGCCAGUAUUCUGGCGGGCAUGCCUGUCCGAGCGUCAUUUCAACCCUCGAACCCCUCCGGGGGGUCGGCGUUGGGGAUCGGCCCUUUACGGGGCCGGCCCCGAAAUACAGUGGCGGUCUCGCCGCAGCCUCUCCUGCGCAGUAGUUUGCACACUCGCAUCGGGAGCGCGGCGCGUCCACAGCCGUUAAACACCCCAAACUUCUGAAAUGUUGACCUCGGAUCAGGUAGGAAUACCCGCUGAACUUAA